Molecule: small nuclear RNA, 163 nt
Organism: Benincasa hispida (wax gourd)
Lineage: Eukaryota; Viridiplantae; Streptophyta; Magnoliopsida; Cucurbitales; Cucurbitaceae
Product: U1 spliceosomal RNA
Source: RefSeq, a predicted model, not a curated record
UCACUUACCUGGAUGGAGCUAGUGGCCGAUCAUGAAGGACUAUGACUUAGGCACGUGACUUCCAUUGCACGUGGGUAGGGUGCUUGCCUAAAGUCGGUCUGACAUGGGCAGAGUCUACAUCAUUAUUUGUGGCAGUGGGGGCUUGCGUACGCGCAGCCCCUUC